CCUACGGGAGGCAGCAGUGGGGGAUAUUGCACAAUGGGGGAAACCCUGAUGCAGCGACGCCGCGUGGGUGAAGAAGCGCCUCGGCGCGUAAAGCCCUGUCAGCAGGGAAGAAAAUGACGGUACCUGAAGAAGAAACCCCGGCUAACUACGUGCCCGCAGCCGCGGUAAUACGUAGGGGGCAAGCGUUAUCCGGAUUUACUGGGUGUAAAGGGGGCGCAGACGGCGAUGCAAGCCAGGAGUGAAAGCCCGGGGCCCAACCCCGGGACUGCUCUUGGAACUGCGGGGCUAGAGUGCAGGAGGGGCAGGCGGAAUGCCUGGUGUAGCGGUGAAAUGCGUAGAUAUCAGGAGGAACACCGGUGGCGAAGGCGGCCUGCUGGACUGCAACUGACGUUGAGGCCCGAAAGCGUGGGGAGCAAACAGGAUUAGAUACCCCAGUAGUC
RNAcentral lists this ribosomal RNA (440 nucleotides) under uncultured bacterium. Its description in RNAcentral is "partial 16S ribosomal RNA". It matches the Rfam family "Bacterial small subunit ribosomal RNA", at positions 338 to 795 of the family's 1533-position model. The record is from RNAcentral.